GAUGAACGCUGGCGGCGUGCCUAAUACAUGCAAGUCGAGCGAACGGACGAGAAGCUUGCUUCUCUGAUGUUAGCGGCGGACGGGUGAGUAACACGUGGAUAACCUACCUAUAAGACUGGGAUAACUUCGGGAAACCGGAGCUAAUACCGGAUAAUAUUUUGAACCGCAUGGUUCAAAAGUGAAAGAGGGUCUUCCUGCACCUUAAAAAGGGAUCCGCGCUGUUUUAGCUAGUUGGUAAGGUAACGGCUUACCAAGGCAACGAUGCAUAGCCGACCUGAGAGGGUGAUCGGCCACACUGGAACUGAGACACGGUCCCGACUCCUACGGGAGGCAGCAGUAGGGAAUCUUCCGCAAUGGGCGAAAGCCUGACGGAGCAACGCCGCGUGAGUGAUGAAGGUCUUCGGAUCGUAAAACUCUGUUAUUAGGGAAGAACAUAUGUGUAAGUAACUGUGCACAUCUUGACGGUACCUAAUCAGAAAGCCACGGCUAACUACGUG
RNAcentral lists this ribosomal RNA (497 nucleotides) under uncultured bacterium. Its description in RNAcentral is "partial 16S ribosomal RNA". It matches the Rfam family "Bacterial small subunit ribosomal RNA", at positions 28 to 507 of the family's 1533-position model. The record is from RNAcentral.